This 142-nucleotide small nucleolar RNA is filed under the name Mus caroli (Ryukyu mouse). Its description in RNAcentral is "predicted gene, 24549 (MGP_CAROLIEiJ_G0036253.1)". It matches the Rfam family "Small nucleolar RNA SNORA17". From Rfam's summary of the family: snoRNA ACA 17 belongs to the H/ACA family of snoRNAs and is predicted to guide pseudouridylation of the 28S rRNA at positions U4659 and U4598. It shares the same host gene together with ACA43. The record is from RNAcentral. Lineage: Eukaryota; Metazoa; Chordata; Mammalia; Rodentia; Muridae.
CCUGCCCCUAGGGAAAGCAUUGCAGAUGUGGCUGCUGUGUGUUAUGUGCUUCAAUCUGUGGCAAAGAGGAAGAGAGAAACUAUGUCUAAGCUCAGUGUUCUUAUCUGUGAAUAUAUGCAUGCAUACAUAGCAGCUUAACAUU